RNAcentral lists this ribosomal RNA (450 nucleotides) under uncultured Rhodocyclales bacterium. Its description in RNAcentral is "bacterial SSU rRNA". It matches the Rfam family "Bacterial small subunit ribosomal RNA", at positions 354 to 796 of the family's 1533-position model. Lineage: Bacteria; Pseudomonadati; Pseudomonadota; Betaproteobacteria; Rhodocyclales. The record is from RNAcentral.
GUGGGGAAUUUUGGACAAUGGGCGCAAGCCUGAUCCAGCCAUGCCGCGUGAGUGAAGAAGGCCUUCGGGUUGUAAAGCUCUUUCGCAAGGGAAGAAAACGUGUGGGCUAAUAUCCUGCGCGGAUGACGGUACCUUGACAAGAAGCACCGGCUAACUACGUGCCAGCAGCCGCGGUAAUACGUAGGGUGCGAGCGUUAAUCGGAAUUACUGGGCGUAAAGCGUGCGCAGGCGGUUGUGUAAGACAGGUGUGAAAUCCCCGGGCUUAACCUGGGAACUGCGCUUGUGACUGCACGGCUAGAGUACGGCAGAGGGGGGUGGAAUUCCUGGUGUAGCAGUGAAAUGCGUAGAUAUCAGGAGGAACACCGAUGGCGAAGGCAGCCCCCUGGGCCUGUACUGACGCUCAUGCACGAAAGCGUGGGGAGCAAACAGGAUUAGAAACCCCGGUAGUCC